Gasterosteus aculeatus aculeatus (three-spined stickleback) is the source of this 27186-nucleotide long non-coding RNA. The record is from Ensembl. NCBI's taxonomy places the organism in Eukaryota, Metazoa, Chordata, Actinopteri, Perciformes, Gasterosteidae.
CAGUGUCCAAUCCGGCUGCUGAACAAGCAGUUAACAAAUUGAAUAAACUUGAGCCGAGAAGGGCCGCGCAGUAGGUUUGUGUUGUAUUUACAAGCUAAGAGGAUGAUCCUAUUCACUGAGUAUGAAUGUCAUGGACUCCGGUGUAACUGGUUUACGAGCUUAAAGUUGUGAUCUGCUAACGAUUAAGAAGUGUUGUAUAUUCUGCAUAGAGCAUUUACAUGACUGGUCGGUGGCUUUACGUAGUGUAACAACGGCACUGAUUGAACUAGCAAGGUCACAGAUGGCAGCAUUAGCAAUGUUCUGUCUCUGUUUAAUAUAUUGUCUUUGUGCUGUAAGAUUUGUCUGAAUUAUUCCUUUAGCGGGUGAGCUAAUUGUUGUGGGGUUUAGUGUGCAUGAUGACAUUGUUGUAGAAGAGACCCGUUGUAGAAGUAGUGAAUAUGAAGGGCUAAUUUUGAGGUGCGGUUUUACAUCUGAUCUUCUAGUAAUCAUCCAACACCUCAUACAUACAGAAUAAGUAGCUACUUUUUGAAUAAAAGGGAUUAAAUCCAUGCCUUUCUGGACUCUGACAUGUUUGGAGAAGUCUGACGUGAUUUUCAAAUUCCGAUAUAAAAUUUUUUUAUUGUUAUAUUUAUUAUGUUUGAGGUGUUUUUAAUUCUGUGUAGAUUCAGGUGUCUUCAGAGACCAAACAGAGCGAGCGAUUCAAAAUGGAUUCCCUCAUGUCCAUUUUGCUUUGUCAAAUCAAGUUAUUCUGCCCUCCAGCUGGUCCAUUACUGCAUUUGAAUGCCAGUAGGCGUACUUGACCCUUGUCAUAAACACUUUAAAAUCCAGGAAUAGAACACAACCACUUUUUACAUGCAUUAUCCAUCCUGUUGUCUUUCCUCUUUCUAAAUGUUGGAGGGAAAGAAGAAAAAUAUCAUGGCUUAACAGAAUGCCUUUUUUUUGCUGUAGUCAAAAGUGCACUAAGUUUUGCAUCAGAUUGAAUGAGUAAAUAAGUUAUACAACGUCUCUCGUGGCUUUCGAGUUACAUCAGAGGCUGUGAAUACAUGAGCGGAGAGAGCGACGUCUGCUGCAGUGAAGGCAAUGAUAGGCAUUCAAAUCCACAGCAACUAUAUCUGUAGGCUUUUGGAACCAAAUUCACGUUGGCCAUCAUUUGUAUGAACUUGUUGCUGUUGAAACGUUUGAAGGGUAUCCAAGGUUUUGUUAUGGUCCUGCAUAUUUCAAAUAAUAGGGAAAUAAACUUGUAACCAAAAAAUGUUACGUCAUAGGUGUCGAUGUAUCAUUUUACAUGCAUUAGAGUAGUUAUUUAGUCUGAAGGUGAGGUGUCUAAAGGCUCUGUGAGGUUGGGGACCCUACAUUUUCAUAACUUUCAGGUAUGAAUGCCCCACAUAGUCGACUGAUCAAAGCAUUAUUUUAUUGGAUCUUUGAAUGUCCAGCACAGUGCUAUGUCAACAAAACAUACUGUGGCUCAACACAUCCUAAGCUGUGGAUCCUCUAUCAGUGGCCCAUGUCGCUAAAGCAGCCGUAAAGAAGAAAUCUCUGUCUGUGUGGAGGGAGUUUUUGUGCCUCCGGUUGGAAUGGAUCUGUCGUGUUGCACAUGUUUAUGUUCUAGAUAGUUUAAUAAAAAGACAAAUAGAUGAUGAUUCUGUGUUUGCCUCCACUUCAGCCAAUAAAAUGAUUCAGCCCACCUCUUGAUUGUCACUUUUCUGUAUUUUAAAAAAGAUUGUAGUUCAUUAUUUGUCAAUGCCCUCCUAUUACUAUUUUAAAUAAGUUACUGUAGCUUAGCUACUGGGUAAGAUGUAGCUUUUUAAUGGAUAUUUUACAACGUGCAGCAGUGACUACAUUUAGAUUGUAAUAGGCGUUAUUCGUAAUUGUAUAAUUCAUUAAAAUUGAGGUUUUACUUUAAAGUAUUAGGUCUCUGCUUAUUAUCAGUGAACUGUUAUUGAUAAAGUCAGACUACGAGAGCAAAGACCCCCCUCAAGAGGAUUUGAGAGAGGAAAACAGAUUCCAGAGAAACCUGUUUCUUGAACCACUUAUCCGGGUUCGGGUCGCAGGGACAACAGCUCCAGCAGGAGACCCCAAACUCCGGGCCACAUCUACCAGCUCUGACUGGGGGAUCCAACUGUAAACAUGAAUUGUCUGAUAUUAGGAGAAAACUGUAUAGCAUUUUUAUUUACCCAAACAAUCACAAAAAAUUAUGUAAAUAUGCAAGCGCAGAAAAAGUCAAAUGUUACGUAAAAAAGCAAAGAAAAACAAUCUGGGAGAGGCUGGUUAGUGUGUGACCUUAAUGGUUGUUCCAUUUCACACAACUUUGUCUCCCAUUAGAUCCGUAAGAGGAGAGACUACAUAACCUGCGUCACCUGAGGGCAGAUGCCGCCUUCACAUCCAUCAUCCCACAACAAAUAGGUGACCCUUAAUAUACAGGUGGCCAUCUCAGGCUUUUACACAGAAAACCUUAAAAGGAAUAGUGGGACUAACUGGAUAGACCAGGAAAAAACAUGUGAAGCAUUAAGAAACACAAAGAGCCAGAAAGUAUAUUAGAGAGCCAGUUCAGGCUGGAGACCAAAACUGAGCUAAAAUUAGGAAGAAUAUCUCUUGUGCUCAGGUCGACACAAACAUUAUUUCAUAUGUUGGAUGGUGUCCACACUACACACACGCUUCUUUAGUGACUGCAUCCAAGCCAGGGUUAAGUACCCUAAAACCUCCUCUGUGGUAGUCCCUGAUACAGGCUGUCUCUAAGACCAUGACACACACAAACACACACACGCCGUCACGAGGAGAAAAACGAUACCAGCAUUGCUGCCGCGACUGGUGAUUAUGUUAAUUCGCCCCAGUGCUUGUCCUCUGGGGAAGAAGCCUUUUCAACCUUCGGAAGUUCAACCAGUGAUCUCCUGCCGUCACUUGACAGCAGCACUGCUGAUUUUGCUGAAAUGUUCCUCUUCAGCUCCUUUUGUUGUAGCGAGCUGCCACUUUCCAGUGCCCCAGGCCAGUGCCCAUUGUGCGUCCAAAGCUGCCACGUCACGUUGAGCAAACAUACGUGUCCAUCAGCUAUGUGGGUGGACGCACCAGAACAAGAACAGGCAGUCUUCUCCUUUUCUGGUGGUGAGCUUUGCACCAAAAAAGUGCACCUCUAAUUGAAAUGCCUCCUUUGAAAACAGUGUUUCAUUUAAGUGGGUACUCAGAGGGAUGUGGAUCUUUGGAGGGAAAAAACGUGACCGAUUCAUCUACUGAAACACAAAUGAUGGGUCGGAAACAAAACCAGCUACAGCUCGCGGAAAACACCUCAUUUGAGGAAAGAGGCCGUCGACACUUGCUAUUUUCAUGUUGUCGUUCCAUGCUGUGAACUGAUGAAAAGAUCUUGCGUGUUAGUCCACUUCUCCAUUAUGCCUGACCUACUUGUCUGCGCCUCUCAGCUCCAAACCUUGUGGUUUCUACUGAAGAUGAUUGUUUGAGAACUGAGCACAGAUGCUCCCACAUGCACUUUUCAGCAAACGCCACUCAAACCGGAAAAGAAAUAGUACAUUUGUUGUGGAAUGCAGCAUAUUAAUCCACAUUUGGGGACCUGGUGAGAAUCUUUUCAUUUGUGUGAUUGAGUCAAAACAAACUACUGUGAUGGUGACUGUGUGACUAACUGAGUAUGCGCACAGUUUAAACUACAAAAAAGCAGUAAAUUUUUUAAAUUCCAUUAACUUUCAGAGAAGUAUGACCAUAUUAUUAAGACUGGGUCUUUGUCUCGACUCAGACAUUUUGUUAUUAUUAAGCAAGCAGGGUGAAGCAACGGGAUCCUUUGACAGUAAAAACAUUCCGACCGCAGUUUAGACAAAUAUGAAAAGAGCCAUUUUCCUCCAGUGACAUAACUGCAUAUUUGGGCUUCAACAGAGUCCUGAUCCUUCUAUCCUUCUACCUCUCUUUACUUCUCCCAAUCAGUGAGAAACGGGCUGCCAGUAUGCUGAACCUUGACAAAACGGUUUCAGAGAAACUGUCAUCUUUGCACCAGCAUCGACCUUCCUUAUUUUAAGUAAUCUCCCUUUUUCGUCAUCACUUGCCGCUCUUUGCUGUCCGUCCCCUGAGGACAAUCACACUUCAAGAGCAGAGAGUGGGAGGGAGGAAACAUUCAAAAUGCAAAUAUGCUAGUGUUUAAAUAUAUCUGGGGGGAAAAGCACACACAUUAAGCCAUAUUUUAUUAAAUAAAAACUAAACUAUUAAAAAACAAACUUCCCUUAUUGUACAAGCAAAGUGUAAAGUUAUGUUUUAUUUAGGGCUGGGCACAUUAACGCGUUAUGAAUACGUUAACGUAGCAAUUCAUUUGAUUUUAUCAUGUGAUAAGUGAUAAAAAGAGGAAAAAGCUUUUGAAGGUGCCGUACCUUUCUCUAUUUGUAACCACAUUACGGCUGUUUUUAUAUAGCUGAGAUUCAAAGGCAAAUCUACAGUCUUUACAGACUUCAGUCAUUUUUAAGCUCGAGAACUUCACCUCACUAACAGGGAACCGUACUACUGAACAUAUGCUGCAUUAUGUUGUUCCUUGAUAAAACACCAAUGUUACUUCUUCAGAAACAGAUACUGCAUGUCAACAAGAUGUUGCUCCAAGAGUGCCUCUUUGUAUUGUUCUGACAUUACUUUAACAUAAAAGGCUGCAAUAGGCUAGUUUUUUAUGUAUUACUUUGUGCAUGAUGCGAUUAAUCGCUGUUAAGCACAGAAAAUCAUGCAAUUCAUUAAUUUAAAAAAAAUGUCAUCUUUGUCCAGCACUAGUUUCAAUACAAAGUCAAUUCAAGCAGUGUAUCUCUAUAAAUAUAUACACUGUGUAUAUGUAUUAAGACUCUUGUGUUUCUUGGUCUCUCCCUCCUACCAGUGAGCUUUUUUGGGGGUGAAGUUUGACAGCUGCUCUGAUUGGCUCAUGGACCGGAGUCCCAGGCACGAGGCCACUGAGCAUGAAUUUCAAGAAAACAGUGCAUGAAUUGUCACGGUGUGGUUCACUUCCUGUCUUAUUUUGUAGUUUUCUGCCACUCGUGUCCCCGGGUAACUUCACUUCCUGCCUUGUCCCGUCAUCCCCUGUGAUCGUCUAAUAGUUUCCACCUGUGUCCAAUCACCUGCACCUCCCUUGUGUAUUUAAGCCAUGUGUCUCCUGUGUCACUUGUCGCGUCAUUGUCUUUCGUCUUGGAUCGCCGUAGUUUCUCGUCUGUGUGCUUUUGCCCCCGGUUCCUGUUUUUUGAGCUUUGACUAUUAAAGUCUUUUGUUUUCUGCAAGUCUGCGUUUGAGUCCUGCCUUCCACCCCGCAACCCUGACAUGAAUGAACAAACUGAAAACUAGAAGAAUGCACUCAGUAAUUUGGCUCCACGGGUUACAUUGUUUGGUCCUCCACAAUGUAUGAAUGUGUUCCUUAAAACUUUAUGGCGUAUGUUUUUAACACUGGAAGUUACAUAUACGCUUGGUUGAUAAAAUUAUGACAGCACUGGUACAUGUCUGCAUACAAAGACUUUUAAAAUGCUGUGGGGUUAUCUGAGAAAUGUCUUUAAUAUUCACCCAAAAAUGGACUGAGAAAAUAUCAGCAUGUUUAAGUCAGCAAUGUGGUCACAUUAUCCUGUCUAAACAAAAUAUUUCAUUUCACUCCACAUAUACAAGCAUUAGAAGAAAGGUCGGAGGAUCGGCAAUGUAUUAAAGGAUUUAUCACAUGCAGUAGUUGUUAGAUAUUUCAUCAGAUAUGUUUUGCUGGACCAAAGUCUCAGUCCACAUAGCUGACAGAAAGACCAACCCUACCAUUUCUAGCCAUGAUGGUUCCUUUGCUAAAAAGUUAGAAUCACAUUAGCUACGAAAAUAGCAAGUCUCAGAUUUGAACGCUAGUUGUAACAUUGCAUUUCUAUAUCAGUGGAUCCAUUGAACAUUGGGUCAGUAAAACAAUGAGUUACCUCCUGUUAAUGAGUGAAAUGGUGGCCCGAAUGAGACACAUCAACAACAAAACAAUUUUACUUAGGAAGCUAAAUCAAAGAUGUAAAUAUAAUUUAAGCUUCACUUCCUCCCUAAUUCUAAAGAGCUUUUAUCCAUAUAUGGAAUCGGGUGUUGAGACUGCAUCUGUUCAUAUCAGGUAAUUGUAUGAGCGUGGGCAACAUCAGGGAUGGUAAAACGUCUUUGGCAGCUCCGGUAUAGGAUCACACAGCAUGGCGCUCGGCCUUAUGCCACCUCUGCAGUCUUCCUAGGCAGUGUCUAAAUUGGAUGUGGCGACAUGAGUCAGAGGGAGCAAUGUGAGCGGACAGUUCAACUUUCCAGGGAACAACACAAUCACGCUUGCUUCAACCACAACCCUGCUGCCAGGCCGGUGGUAUUAAAGAGUCUCCACUCUGACAUCGAAACAGGACAAUAAACCUUAUUUUAGUUUUCAUCAGAGGAAAUGUAUAAUUCUUUGCACACUUAACGCCCUCCAGAAGCACUUUUUCAUCUUUCAGUCUUAAAUGCCUGUGGCCCUCCUUAUGAAUAACACAAAUGAAGAACUCAAGCUUGGACCUCUGCGGAGCAAUGGCUGAUCCAGUCGAUUGUCCAUCAAACAAGUGAACUACACACAACCGGUGUGGGCUAGAAAGGUUCCCGUAGAAUGUUACUUACAAAUCCACCUUCCCCCAUUAAUACUGUAGAUUCUUGGAGUUGGAGCGGCCAUCAUUUUUCUCAGCUACAAUACCCUCACAUGACUGGCGACAGUCAUGGUAUUUGACUUCUCUGGUGCUUUACCAAUCCUGCCUUCUGGAGAAAAGGCGAUGCAUCUACAUGCUCGCACCGGAUCGUGGAGUAUCCAUCAACAUCGUGCUUCUGAAGGUGCUUUACCGGUGUCAUUCCUCUUCACUAUCAACAUACACAACACACAUCUCCGGCAUCUCAACUCUGUUUCCUGCAAACAACGAAGGAGACUCAUCAGAAAACUUUUUGAUGCAUCAUCAAUGGAAAAAACAAGAAGUACAAUAGACUUUUUCACACAUGGCGACAUCCAACAAUAUCAUGAAGCUAGCUCUGUGAGCUCAACAGUUACGAGAUGGGGGGAAAGGAAAGAGGAUGGAAAGAAAGUAGGGUGAAGGACAAGAUCAAAUCCACCUGAAAAAACACCUCUCUUCCUCUCCACGAUGAGCAGUCGCAAACGAAAAGUUAAUUCUGUCAGCAGAUCAUCCUACGUCCAAAAUCUAGACUCUGGAAAAUUAUCCCUUUAAGGGUUUGCAUAUUGCUAGGUUUAAAAAAAGCUUCAACAAAAUCUCAGGCCACACUACAACAAAAUGUAAACAGGAAAUCAAUUGUUUGCUAAGGUAAAAAAUGAUGACCUUGUGGUAUUGUACUCUUUAAUAAUAAAACGAACUGCUUCAUAACUGAGAUAUUUACUUAACAUAUUCCUUAGUGAAGUCAGACAAAUUUUGUUAAUGGUUGUAGAACCUUUAUUUCUUCAGACUUUAUUAAAAAGCUAUCGAUCUCUCUGCCCCCGGAAUCAGGAAACAUUUAUUACCAAAAUAUGUCAGACAUCCAAGGAAUUUGACUUGGCAGUUGACCAGGCGAUUUGGGUAACAUUUGGCUGAAGGUUCUUAUAGGUUCUAUAUGCCUUUAUGCUGAUCUCGCCAAUUCUUGUCAGUGUUUUCCUACAAGGUCACAGACUGCUGCUGGUGGCCCCCCUCCCUAUGGCCGGCCAGGACUGGGUUCGCCCUGCUGCACUCGGCACAGUAGUCUGUGCAGCAGCUCCCCAACCUUGCGGGGUAACAGCCAGAUCACAUGCUACAUAUGUUGAAUCUCCUCUGCUCUCCCUCUCCCCAAAAACUCGCACCUAGGAGGUGAAUCAGCCGCUGCAAAUUUGAUUUUCAUGCAGGAACGAGACUCAGACUCUUCACACCAAUCAACAGCCAUUUUCACUCUUCGCCAAAGGGCUCCUCAAAACUACUGCGGCUCAUAAGAAUGGCAAGGUCUCCAUUCUGUCCUUCAAUAUAGUACAUUUUAAAAGGGUUCUUUGAUUUAGACCUCUAGGGUUCAGCAACAGUCCUGCUGGGUCAUACCAACGGACGAUGGGCGGGAGGGGGUGAAAGAUAGAUCCACGGUCAGCUAGUCCAUAACACAACCAUAUAUAUAUAUAUACUGUACUAACCUAACUAAGUCUAACCUUUCAUUGUGUUUUUCCUUUUUUUCUUUGUCCCUCUUUUGUUUUAGACUUUAUGUAAUCAUAAAUCAAUAUGAUGCAUGUUGGGACCAAUUCCCUCCACAAGUCACAUUUGAGGAGGGUCGCACCCGAUUUCGUGCUGAAAUGACACCUGACAGCAACACAGAGAGAACCCCUUGAAAGGUUUGACAGCAAAUAUGUGAUUGGUUUAGAGACACAGCGCCGCCUCUGUUGGUCGUAUACACCUGGGGGCAGCCAAUCUCUGCUGAUCGCAUAAUGGUGGGAGACCAGCUGAAGCAUAUCUACAUUACGUCUGACAUAAAGGGAGUCUUCCUUCCUGAACUUUCGCUUAGUAAGUAGGGUCCACCUUAAUGUCAGUGUGAAGGCCCCCGUGGAUGCCACCGCGCCCACAAGAUGGUUGCAGCAGCUCUUUGGGCCUAAGAGGUGCCGUGCGCCUUUACGGCUCACGGACAUCACGGUGCAUAUCCACCAAAUACUUCAGAUUAAAUGUGGCAAUCCUUCCCCCACGAGUGUAGUUCUCCGUCCAUGUUCCUCUGCGUGAGCUGUACCAGGCGGGCAGUAGGAUCCCUCUGGGCUCUGUUGGUAUAAGUCAUCCAGUGUGACUGUCUCUGGCAGUCAGCAACGAUGAAAUAGUGCGAAGGUUAUGCACAACGGCCCUAUGAAUUCUGGAUGAUGUGGGUCACUUGGAAUCCCCAUGAACUUGUGACAAGAUUCCUUAGAACUGAUAUUAGAAUCAGAUAUCAGAAUUGAUUCCAUAAAGUCUAACAAAAGAUUUAUUGAGGUUAGAAGAUACAUAUCACCGCAUUUAAACUUCCUGGUUCUGGAAGGAAGGCAGCGGGUCAUCUAAGCUUUACAACAUUCCUUCAGAAACUCAUGGCUGACAACAGAUGCUUUUAUUUCACACAACGCACUGAACCACGAUCAGCUCAAGGAGAGCUGUUUUUUUUUCUUGACGACUGGCUCGCCCUCCUCCACAAGCAGGCAAGAAAUCCCCUCGGGAAUCAGUUAGAUUUAGGGGUGUAACGAUUCAUCCACUGAAUCGAUUAAUCGAUUCAUAUUCCUGUGAUCCAACUGAAUCGAUCUGUGCUCCACAAAUCGGCAUUCCGGACGACAUAUAUCGAUUACAAAUCGAUUGAAAUGGUGCAUAAUCGAUUGUAUCGAUACUUGGAAACUGCACAUUGGAUUUGAGUACAAAAACGGUGUGGAUACGUGUUUGUUUUUUAAUACUUUAGACACGUUAAACGUUACUGGAUUCAGCAUGCCUUUCUGCGACGUCAUUGGUACGCAGCGGCAAUAACCACAAACAACAAAACAUAGCGUGGAGGAGACCACUGCGAGCGAGACAUUUACAAACCAACUUAUCGAUCCAGCGCGUGGAAACAUUUUGGCUUUUGCAAACACGGAGGUGUUCUAAAUAAGUCGCUCGCUGUUUGUAGAAUAUGUAGAAGCCAAAUAAAAACCACGGAAACACGACAAAUCUUUCCGGCCAUCUACUAAGGCGCCGUGGGAUUAAACAACGGCGACAGUCAGGACCUCUAGCAGCGUCACCGCUGCAGCAGCAGCAGGUAACUCAGCUCUGCAGACACCUCAGGUCUCGCCAGCACCAAACCCAACAUCACAGUAACAAGUUUAUCUGUAAAGACAUGCGACCCUACAAUGUGGUUGAAAAUCUGGGGUUCUGUGGAUUGAUCUAAACAUUGGGUAAUUAUUGUGUAAUGUUUACAUUGAAAAUGGUUGCACAAUAAAAGGUUAAUACAUUUGCCAUUAAUUGUUGUUUGCUUGUUUAUAAUAUCCAUAAUUAAUUUAAACCGGAUUUCCUUACAAGAAACAACAGGGAUCUCAGAAACUUUGUUCUAAAUGAACGUUCUAAAUGAACCCAGAUCGUCCAUGAAUCGAAACGGCAACCAUGAAUCGCGAUUCAAAUCGAAUCUUUGUAAAAUGAAUCGUCACACCCCUAGAUAGAUUAUAUAAUCUGAAGUCAGUGUCAGGGUCAAAAAACCCUGUGUUGAGUAGUCUAAAUAUGUAUAUCCUGUAUAUUUAUAUAUAUGUUUUCCUUCAAAAAGCAUUGAACAGAUGGCUCUUAAUUAGAGUUCAAAAGAUAAUGGAUCACCAUUAUCAUUUACAUCUCAGGCCUCACAGCCUUUCUUGUACCAAGGCAAAGCUCUCAGAAGGGAUUGUGGGUGCCGGUGAACAAUGAAAAGCUAAUUUACUUCCAUGCACUGUGUAGCCUCCCUUUGCAGAAAAUGAAUGUCAUUACCCUGCUUAACCUCUUAACCUGUCCUUUGUGUAUUAAAUGAAGCCGCCUGAGAUCUGAGCAAUUUCAAUAAAGCAUACUUUGAAAUGAAUUUGAUAUUUUUCUUUGUAGUGAACAAAACAAGACUAAUAUAUUUUUGAUUUACACGUCAUAUUAAUUUCAUAAAUGCCUGCGUAAACUGCCGGGGGAAAAAAGCACUUCUUUGAAAUGAAUUCCUUUUUAUAUUGUUGUUUUCACGCUUGAAAGUAAAAUCAAUUGUAACAUUUAUCUUUUAUGUUGCAUAAUCAAAUAAAUAUACUCUAUUUAUUUCAUUUUUGUGGUCCUUUACAGGCAUCCAAAAAGGCAAUCCUGUAACGUCUCGUUAGCCCCAUAUUAGUGUGUGUGUGUGUGUGUGUGUGUCUCUGACAAUGCCCUGUAUCUCGUUAAUGACUGUGACUGCCCCUUUUCUGGGUUUUGUUCGGUCGGUGGAGUUGUUUUGAUUUUUGUUCAUCAGUAAAGAACCACCUUUUGUUUCAUGUUCAAACUGGUCUCCAGUGUCAGUCUCUGCAUUUGAGUCCUCACCCAGCAGUGAACCGUGACAAAUCCAAUUCAUAUUACAUAUAUAUGUAGUUUUAAGUCAUGAAAAAUCAGUUGUCUAAGAGGAAUGUUCUUCUCAGGCUGUGAAUAGGUUGUGAUGUCCUCUAUCCAGACCCCUCGUAUGACCCUCUUAACGAUGAGUAAGAGCAACCUUUUAGCCACUCUUUAUCCCUCCCGUUUCCUUUUAGGCCAUUCAAGCGUCAGUUAUUGAUAGUUUCUUUAGGCAUACAUUUUUUGAUGUUUUAUUUCUCUCUCUAUAUAUAUAUCUAUACAUUAUAUAUGUAUGUAUAUGUGGCAAUCGGGAGAUUUAGUUGAAGAAGUUGUACUUAUUAUCAGGUACCAGCCACCUUGGUAAUUCCACCCAAGGGUUAAAUCUUGUCCACACAGUAACAAGUCUUUAAGACACUCAGAUCUGGCAGAUCCAAAAAGCCAGAGUGGGUCCUGAGAACCCCCUGUUGGGCGGCGCCAUAGAAUAGCUUGUGAGACUCUGUCGGCCUGCGGUAGACCUGUCUUUAGGUGAAUCAGAACAGCAGCGUUCCUCUUGAACAGUCUCCGAUCAGGCAAUAUCCAUCUGCUCCAGAAGGCGGUAGGAGGUCAGGUAAUGCUGCCAAGUCACAGAUCACGCUUUCCAAUUCUUACCAAUUCUUCUAAAGAUUUGAAUUCAUAAAUGAACGCAUAAUCUCUUUAGAAAGAGUAUUUUAUACACUGUUGUUCAAUUGUAUUUUCAAUAACUCCAAAGAAGUGAUCAACGCUCCAUCAUUUCACGGCUGCGUUUGAAGUGCGAACAAUGUCGCCACAUUUAGCAGGGACGUUUUCCUCUGCACAGUUUUACUUCCAAUGUAAAAAGCUCUCUCCAUCCUCAACUACCGUCUCGCUCUCUGCAUCUAACUGACUGCAGCACGCGGCGGCUUCAGGGGUCAGGGGUCAACGCACACCGGAAGCAAACAAAGCUGCGAUAACUGGGUUAAAACAUAUUGUCGCAUUCAUCUCAGCCACAGUAAUCUACUGCGUUCACAUUGACAGCUGUAAUAUAUGUUAUUUGUUUAGUUGCCCAUCGUCUCACUGUCCAAUGUUACGCACCAAGCGCCAUGUCAAGUUCCAUAUUUUGGCAAUAAAUGUUCCUGAUUCCUGGUAUAAAUAUUUAUAUAUAUCCAUCCAUCCAUCCAUCGUCAAACCGCUUAUCCUGCACACAGGGUCGCGGGGGGGCUGGAGUCCAUCCCAGCCAACUUCGGGCGAUAGACAGGGUACAUCCUGGAUUGGUCGCCAGCCAAUCGCAGGGUAUUUAUAUGUAUAAUAUUUUUAAUUUUUAACUUUAACUAUUCUCUUAUUUUAUACUAACCCAUAGCCUUAUUCUACUAACCCAUAGCAUUUCAUUUUAUUUUAUUUUAUCACUUGUCUACUGCUGUCUUGUUUUCUAUUGUUACACUGUCUACUGUCACAUAGCAACUGCAAAGACAAAUUCCUUGUAUGUUUGACAUAUUUUGGCAAUAAAUGCUUCCUGAUUCCUGAUAUACGUGUUUUUGCUAUAUUUGUAAUUGAGGAAAGUAGUCUCAGAAUGACUUGAGGAAGAAGAAAGAAGAAAAAGUGAUUGGUUGGUACAUCUAUCUUGUCUUAUAAAUGAGCAUUAUUAGUAGUCAAUUAACGUAAUAUAAAUGAAACAAGAUAAUUCUAGACAAAAUAAGCAAUCAUUAUAACAAUAGGAUGAAUUCAUUUUUUCCCAUUUAUGGAAGAGUCGUGUAAAUUCCAAUAAUCUGUUAUUUAAAUUGACAGAUAAAGUGUCAGUACCAAGAAAUACACAGACACAACCCUUCAUUCAGCUUCUACAAAUUGAGAAACAUGGCCCAAUGUGGAAGAAGAGAGACAGAAGGGGGCCAGAAAUUGGAUUAGCCAGUUGGAUGUGAUGAUAAGCCAGUGAGGAUGGCCAACGCGGCGGCGCCUCCGUGGCCUUUCCGAUAACAGAGCUAAUCCAUCCAUCUUAGCCUCCUGGCCUCUGCUUUGAUUCCCCUCAUCAAACACCCCGCCGCCCUAUUGUUAGCCAUGUUUGCUGCCCGUCCCGCUGCGGUGCUCGGGCCAUAACUCUUCACUCUGCCACGUGGCGGGCAGGUCAACUAUUAAUUUAGGUGAGUGCCACUGUGUCUGUACCUGCUGUUCAGCUCAGAUGAAUGAAAGAGACGCGCCGGCUGCCAUCUUUCACCUGCCUGGCGCCCUCCCUCCUAUGGGCCCCCCUCACACGCGCCUGUCCUCCACGAGUGCCCACCGUGACCAACAAGACAGAUUGCCAUAUUACGGCAAAACUAUCAGCGGGGCAUUUACAGUGUCCAAGAGUUAAGGCGGAAUCAUAAGUCAACGCUAACAGACAGCUAGCCAUUCAGGGCAGGGGGCCGACGGAGAGGGGGGGGAGUGGCAGGGUGGGCACUGAGAAGAUCAUGGCUGUGUCUUUACUCCAGAGGUGUUCCAAAAAGUGAGAUUAAGGGGUCAAACUUGUACUAGGAAGUUCUGCUCCAGUAAAUUCUGCUCCCACUGAGUCGUAAAAUCUCUCUGCUGGAUCGUCAAAUCAAACGGAGCAAGAAUUCAGUAAAAAAAUAAAGUUUACAUUGGUAUAUACUAGAUUAGGCAGUGAGACAAUGGACAACAAUUUACAAUUUAACUCCACAGUGUAAAAUAGAAGGCUGUAGGCUAGAGGGAUAUAGAAUACCAAUUAAAUACUGUGGGGAAUGCAAAAAAGAAUAAGGUGAACCUUGAGAAGUGGAUUAAAAAAAACCUGCAACUAUCCACAAACUUCUAGUAAGAUUCUUGUUCUGUCUUUAGUCUAAAACAUAUCGCAGGACUGCAAAAACAAGGGAAACAUUCGAGCAACAACAAAGAUAAACCCUUAAAGCAGGACGUAUUAUGUCAUGAUAAAUAAUUCAAUUCAUUUGAUUUAGUAUGGCCCAAAACUGCAAAUUACAAAUUAGCCUCAGAGGGAAUGAAAAAGGGAAGAAGCCUCAGAGGAGGAUCCCUCUCCCUGGUUGGACAGACUACAUGUGGACAGAAUGAACUAUAAAUAAAUAUAUAUGUAAUAUAUGUAAAUAUACAUACAGUAACACUUAGUUAGUAAUCAAAAUAUUGUUGCAAAUUCUUGGAAUCAAAUUUGCCCACUUUACAGCGUGAGCCGUGUGAGCAGCUGUGGAGUGGUGGAUGCAUUUUUAAUUAUAGCUAAAUAAGUGUGAAUGGACAAUUGGACGGCAGAUCGCCUCCUCUGAUUUCCUUAAUCAGGCUGCAGUGUUGUUGCCUUUCUUUGGUCGUUAGAUGCUUGUAAUCAUCAGACCGAAUGCGGCCCGAAUUCUGCUCCGUUACUUAGCAUCAGUUAACAUAGCGGCCACAACAUCCAGCGGACCAGUGAUGACUUCAUCAACCCAAACUGGAGGAGUCACUGGUUAGUUUAGCGAAAUUGAACUAAAGCAGAAGACCAAGGCAUGAUAAAUGAAGAGCGACUUUCAUCAAUGGAUGUGGCACUUCACGGUUCCUCGUCUGUGAAACACCCCCCAGGUAGCUGCUCCUGACAGCUGCUCCCUUGUUUGAACAUCAAUUUCAUUUUCGGCGCUCCUUUGCCUCUGCCCUGCCAAAUCCCACAACAAUUACCAAGCAAAUAAAGUGUUUGUGGAGGAAUGCUGCUAAUCAAACGUGGCCUUCAGGGCUGCUUGUGUACAGUAAUGUGUCGAUGCAGUGGGUUUGCAGGCUAAUAGUGUGUCACCGGCUUACCGCCGACUGGCACAAGGCUGGUGUGACGUCUUUUCAGGUUUGGACUGCUAAACGUUUUGUUCUGAAAGGGGAAACCUUCUUUCCUCCCCGGUAAGCUCUUCACUGAGAAGCUGCUCAUACACUAUCGUUGCCAUUUUGACUUGGGGCUGUUUGGGUGUUUUGCAUUGAUAUACUCUCGGUUCAUUUUGCUUCCAUGAGAGGAUUAUGGAAGAUGUUGUUCAAUCAGACAGACAACCGUGCAGCUGUAAACAGCUGUUAUUCCAGCCCAAUCAAGUCUGACAUGUCAGACAGAGAUAAAAGAUCAACUAAUGGAUCGACCAUGGACACAUGUGUUCCAGCUGUGACGACACUGUGCCAUUGUGACUUCAAUCUAGACACACAAAGUUCAUAAGAUCAAUUUUCCUUCGACGCACAUUGUGAUAAUAUAAAAGACCCUUUUGCACCCAACCGGCGCCAAUUUUAGCUCCAAGCCAUAACAGGAUUAUCCUGCACUCAUCACAAACAUACGAAUGCGUCACACUGUUCCAAACAUUAGUCUUGGCAACAAUCUGCACUAAUCUGUUUGAAAAUAUUCCAAACAACGCAACAAGUCAUGAAAUAAGAUAUGCAAAUGAGUCCAGAAAAUGUGCUCACAGCGGCUCUAACGUUUCCUCAGCGAAGCAACAAGCUAACAAAGGAAACGGCUAACAAGCUGACAAACCGUCCCAUGACCAACGCAGAAACAGUCCCCAAGCCUCCAGCAUAUCAAUCACAGAGGGAUCUUCCCUUUUGACGUUUUGAACAAAAUAAUGAAAUUAAUCCGUUUUUUAGCAAGAUACUGCAGCCACCACGAACCAUUUUAGCGCUUUCCACCCACGUUUUAGGGGGUUUUAUUUUCCAAUUUAUUCUAUUAUGGCUUCUGAGUGGCUAAGGAAGCUGUCGAUCAUCAUCCGAGGGUUCGGAUCUAAUGAGAUCAGACGAGUUGAAAAAGUGGUUGAAUCAGUCGAGUCAGCAAUUUCAUUUUAAGAAAGAAAUCAACAUUUGAACUGCUCCCGUUUCCCUGCCUUGAGGCCUUCACAAAAGCCUGUUCUUGAGUAGUUUUCAGUAUUCGAUCACCGUGAAACUUUCCACUCUUACUGUUCACACACUGCGCACUCACGUAGAUGUAAUUUUAACCUGGUGCCUCCAUGUUUCAAAAAUGUAAACUGCUACUUUGAGUGCACAGUGGUAUGGAACGCUGUAGUCAAUGUGAACAGCAACUCUACGUCAUCCCUGAAUAAUGCAUGACUCCCUUUCAUCUACCCGUAUUAUAAUAGUUACGAUAUCGCAGAUUUAUAUUCUGAGUAUAUAUAUAUUCAUUAAUAUACUAAUUUGUUUGAAUAAGAUAUCCUUAUUAUGUUAAACUGAAAAUAAAUAAUAAAUGAAUGUUUUAACUUAACGUUUGACACACUUUUCUUGUUUGCUGAAACUGAUUGUCUGGCGCUUCUAAAAAAAAACAAAUCCAUGCGCCGCCACUGCUGAGAGGUCUGUUAGUGAAUCUUUUCCAGGCAAUGCACAAUUAUUUUUUUGGUCUGUAAUAGUGAUAUACUUUUUCACCAGUAACAUAUAAACAGAUUUUUACGCAUCACACACUCACAGGGGUUCUUCUUUAUCCCCACAGAUGUCCAGAUAAACAAAGUAGUUACAGAGUUAUUACACUUUUUAUCAUGGUAUGUUAUUUUUGGCCAAAAACAACAUUGGGUUUCAACCGUUUAAAAGUUUUUUUUUAACCUUUAUAACUCGUUACUGGGAUUUAGCGCAUUGGGAAACCAUCUCAGGGAAAUACUGAUCACUCUAUUGGACAUUUAUAUGUAAACAAGACAACCAUUAGGGUUUGUUUUGUGAUUUAAUAUGUAGCUUAAUGGAGGGUAGAAACCAUCCAACCAUCCAUACCAAGUACUUUUUUAAAGAAGUAACUAUGGUUCUUGGUUUAAACCCUUUUCCUGUGCAGAGGAAACUGUUACGGAGGAUUAGACAUGACCCAAGAGUGGACAUGGAGACGGCAGAGUGGGUGAGGCAACGGGUUGGAUGAGCAGGGGAGGGAGGAGGACGGGGGCUGGAAGGCUGAAAGGCUGGAAGGCCGGCUGGCAGAGGAACGGGUUGGAUGAGCAGGGGAGGAGGAUGGGGGCUGUAAGGCCGGCUGGGGGAAGAACAGGUUGGAUGAGCAGGGGAGGGAGGAGGAUGGGGGCUGGAAGGCCGGCUGGCGGAGCAACGGGCUGCUGAUGGGUGGAGCAGAGGAGGUCAGUGCGGGUGGGGAGGUUGCUGCGCUGCGUCGUAGCCUCUGGCAUCCUACGCGAGGUGUACUCGCAGGUGUUUAGGGAAGCCGACUCCACUCCUCAUUCCCUAAACACCCAGUUGUCCUUUCCUAACUCCUCAUGAAUUAUCCUUACCCCGGGACGUUUUCCACACAGGUCAAGGAAUGGCAGGUAGGAAUGGCGGUUAGGAAUGGCAGGUAGGAAUAGGCGUUAGGAAUGGUGGUUAUGAAUAGGCGUUAGGAAUAGGCGUUAGGAAUGGUGGUUAUGAACAGGCGUUAAAUGUAAAUCUCCUUGCUUUAUGUUUGGAUGUUUUAAUGAUUUUAUGUGAAGAACUUGGAAUUGCCUUGUUGUUGAAAUGUGCUGUACAAAGAAAAUUGCCCUGUCUUGUAUGUUGUCAUGAAUCCAUCACUGUCAGAAAUCUAACCUCGGCCCGAGGUUAGAUUAGAUUUCACAGUGACAGACAGAAGUACAACAACAAAGUGUUGCCUGCAGGUGCAUAUUAAACAUCAGGAUCCUAAAUAUAAAGUAAUAGGUGUAAGAAUAAUUUUUAUUCUUCUAUUUGUCGUUGUGUUUUGCACUUCAGGGCGACCGUAGCGGUGGGAUCUCAUCCAGGUUAGCAAACUGAAGCAGCAUUCCAACAAAUAUGCAGUCUGACAAUUGGGAUGCCGAACCCUCCACCAACAGUUCUCCAUCAUCAUUUGGGGGGGUUUCUGUGAGGACGGCAGCAUUAAGUGCAGCACAUUCACUGUAUUGUCAACAGUAUUAAUCUAAUGUGUGAAACAGCAUAAGGAGCCAUGAGUGUGCAGCAGGACGCAUACACAAGGGAAGGUCUGGUUUAUUAGAAAAAGACAACCAACAGUCAAAACUGAUGUCAUGUAACUGUCCUAUUGGUCGAUUUAUUAUGUAGUUCUUGUUUCUUGCUCUUCUGGGUUUGUAUCCUUAUGGUGGAAUGCACUCAUUGUAAGUCGCUUUGGAUAAAAGCGUCAGCUAAAUGACAUGCAAUGUAAAAUAAUUCAUAUUAAAUGGUGGGUCUACUUUAGGUCCAAGUGUCUAAGUUGACAGUAAUUAGCUUUUUAUGUCAUUGAAGGCAGCAGUCAAGGAGUCACUCCAGCUCAGUUUUUUAAGUAAAGCGGUUAUGUCAGUUAUGUUUAGUGCAAACAUUGACUGUCUUCCUGGACAGCUACUUAAACAAUUACAUUGGUCAAGUUGACAACGGAAUUGUUUGUCUCUGGCGGAAUGAGUGACAGAAUAAUUUGUGAUUGAGAAACCAACACCAGCUUUCCAUAAAGAUGCAAAAGGGGUGUAAUAAAAUCACUGGCCUCUCAUUUAAGUGAUGCUGCUUCAUGCGUGGAUGGAAAUCCACGCUUUGGGAGACCACCAAGGGAUUAACCAAAUAUCUGUAUGAAUCUUGUCUGGUCACUAUUAGGCCAUAAAAGGCUCAAUGUGAGGAUUAUUCCAUGUAAAUGUCCGUUAACAUACAGGGCGAGGGAUAAGUGUACGGUUCACUAACAUGUCUCCUGGGCCAACGGUCCUGCAGCAUAUGCAGGAAACGUCUCAUUGUAACAUGAGUAACUCUACUAGUUAACGUGGUAACUUUCUAACAUCUGAGAGGCGGGUGUGACAGGUAUCAAUGUAUCUGCCCCUCGGCUUCCCUCUGCUGCCUCUCCUCUCUCCUCCUCCACCUCUCAUGGCCUCGUAAAUGUCAGCAUCCUCCAGUCUGCACUGAAACGUAAUCGCAGCUUGUUCUAUGUUGUUGAACCUCUCUUGACGUGUGUUGCAUGAGGAGUCUCCCAUGUCACACAACUGGAUUUGGCGUGCCGUUUUCCAAGCUUCUUUUUCAAUAAUCCCCUUUGAGCGUUACUCCCGGUCUGUACUCCGAGCCGGAGGAGGUAUUUAGGUAUUCAUCUUGAAGUUGACCUUUGAAUGUUGCACACGAGUCAUGAGUUAUCCAUCUUAUUUCUCUGGCAAUGACGUCUCGUGUUCAGAUAAUCCAGGUCUGUAUCAUCAUGGCUUUUCAUUUAGAUGAGUCUCACCCAUCUGAGUGCUGAGUGGUCGAUGUUGACUUUUAAAGUGACUGUACAACUAUACGCCAGCAGCUCAGAGUCCAGAUCCAAUCCAUGUGACUCUGUCCUUUGGACAAAAAACAGAUUUUCCCUUACUUGUGCUUCCUCUCGCUGCUGGAAACAACGUUUGACUUGAUCCAAUUGCAGGCUAAAACAGCAUUCUUUAUAAAACCCCAUAUUUAUUCAUUUUUCCAACAUUUUAUUAUUUCAGGCUUUAACUUUGACUUUCAACCAUUUCCUCGAGUUAGUGUUUUCUCCAAAACAAUCUGGUCCAAUUAAGACUUUAAGAGAACAUAAGUUCACUUGGUGACGUCUGUCCAAAAGCCUUUCAAAUAUCAGUGCUAAAAUAAAUACCGGUUUACCACUUCAAAGUGUCGGUAACAUCACAAAGUAAUUUGCCACCAAGCGGGAUUCUUUUUCCCGAUUCCAGGACGGGGCCGAACUGCGUGUGGGAAAAGCCUCUUACUGUGUAGGAGGAAUCAACCAUUCUGUGAACUGAGUAACGAUAACUCGUCCAAUCACAGCUUCAUUGUCAAUUUGUGCGAAAUGAGCGGACACUUACACAGACACUAAUUGAUCAUAAUAGAGCUCCUUCACCUCAGCAGAGAGGAUCAGCUGCACAUUACGCCCCCGCCCCCCCCUUUAAAGACACGAUCAACUCUUUAUCACGCAGAUUACCAUCCAGCUGACAUUGGCAGAUUCAACGUAUAGAUAUAAAACAUAUUGAGGCGACAUUAUUAGGACGUGACCCUCACAAAGCGCCAUUGGGUGUAUAAUGUGUAGUACUUCCUGCUACUUCCUGCUACACACCGUUACCUGGAGUCCACGUUUCCUCAGUGCUUCAUCCCAGUUCAGGGACACAUGGGUGCCACUGCAAACAGACCAUUCCUGAGAUAAAAAUAUCCAACGAUUUCGGGGACAGAAAGACUGUUAAAGUGGGACAAGGAUCAGCGUGGGAACCAUGUCUCCUGUGAGUUUGAGUCUCCAUCCAGAGCACAAUGAAAAGGAGGCCAACUCAAUUAAGGACAUGAGUUGGUUUAAUGCAGUAUUUUCUUUGACGGAUUUGAUACAUAUGUGGGUUUGUUUGCGUUUAGACGUAGAAGGGAGAGACAAUGAUAUAAGCAGAAGACAGAAAGAAAUAUCAAUUAUAUACAAUAUGAAUCACAAGCAUCGUCUAGAGUCUCAGGCAUCAACUGUGGCAGCCUAAUUGCAGCCAGAAGGUGGAAGACGUGUGGAAUACUAACUGGUUGACUAAUACUGGUUGACUCCAUCUGCAGAUGUUCCCAGCACAAGCAAGCUGUAUUGACAUAUUUGUUAUCCUUUCCUUCGCGUAUAAUUUGUAUUUCCACUCUCUCUCACUGUGCCGCUCAAUUCCCAAAGGCAACCAAUUACUUCCAAUGAUUGGUUUUAUGUCUCUUAGAAACUAUUAGUUGAUAAAAAAUAGAUUCACAUGGCCGUGUGCCGUCUUCAAGGCGCGUGGGGCGUCGUGACUGGGUUUUACUCCUGUAGAAAGGACUGCUUGGCAGAUUUAGGGAAGGACAAGGCUUUGUGGUCACUCCUUUCCUCUCUCAGCGUGUCCCAGUGUGAUGGGACACGGCUGGAUUCAACUGGAUGUUUGCUCAACGGUCAAAGGGAAACAGGUUUUCAUACCAAUGUUUUUUUUUCCCUUUCACAUUGUCUCUUUGACACUUUUGCUACUGUCAUGAUUAUUAUUAUUAUUAUAUUAUUUCUAUUGCUCACAUUGUUACUAUUUUUACUCUACUAAAUCCGCAACAGCUGCUAUUAUUAGUCGUCAUUUAAAAUCAUAAUGUGGCUUGGUACUUAUUUUUAAUUCAAUUUAAUCUAAGCUUUAUUUGAUAUGGACAAUCACAGCGGCAUUACAGUUGUGACGCAAUAAUGAAGAAUAACGAGAUGCACUGCGUUUAGUGCUAAUUUAAAAACACAUGUCCACAGGAAGCUUUUUAAAGGGAAAAAAAAAACACAAGAUACAGCCAAAAGUACACAUAUAAAUACAUACAAGUGCACAUGCAGGGUGUGUGAACACUGCUGCCUCUCGUCUAACCAUGAUUUUAUGCCUCUAUUAAAAACAUUUUGCUGCAUUUUCAAUUCUGUUGAAUUGUUCUGUCAAUAUUUAAAUCAUUUCUGUCAUAUGCAUUGAACGUAUUGUUCCUCUUCUACGUUGUUUGUUCUGCACACGUGACAUCCAUUGCAUUCCAUCCAUCUGACGUUCUCCCUGAGGUUUCUUGCAUUACCUUUUGAAGGGUUUUUUAUUUCGGGGUUAGUUUUCCUGUGUCGAUGGGAGGCUUUUGAGACACGCUUGUGUACAGAUUGUAAAGCCUCUAAGGUAAAGUUGUGAUGUUGGGCUGCACAAAAUGAAUGUAAUUCUUGAUAUAACAGUGAGUGAAUGCAGAGUAUCUAAUAACAGGAGUAAUAUGAUCCAUUUCCUCUGUUUUUGCUAAAUCACGUGCUGCAGCAUUCUGAAUGAACUGAAGAGACUUAUGAGAGCGGCCUGAUGAUAAAGAAUGUUUUUAAUCUAGUGUACAAGUAACCUGUUCAGACUCCCAUCUGAAAAGUGUCUUGAAGUCUGUUUUAUUUGAGAGUUAAAGGACAGUUAAAGUUGUUGCUGGGUGCCAAAGCUAGAGAAACAUUUUCAUUAGACAACUUCUGAGGUUGUUGGUCAUCUAUAGUUUUAUGUCCCUAAAACAUGCUCGCAAUUUAGCAAGCUGGUUGGUUUCUUCUGGCUGGAUCUAUAAACAUAAUGAUGAGAAUCGUCUGCAUAACGAGGAGAGUUUACCAGCACAGAACCUGAGUGACUACGUCAGUAGUCAUAGAGGUUUCAUUGUUGAAAUACAAACUGAUUGAUCUGAUAAGUAGGACUUAAACCCGCAGAGUGUUUUUUUGUCAAUGCCAAUCAAAUGUUCCAGUCCCUGGAACAGGAUACCAAGAUCAAUGAUGCCCAACACAACACUACGGUCCAAGAACAUACAAAUCCUAUUUCUUAUGCAAUUAAAACGGUAAUUUGUAAUUUAACCAGGGCUGUCCCUCUAAUUCCUGACUGAAAAUCCUUAGAUAAACCUUUGUUACGUCGAAAGUCAUUUCCUGUGAAGUGGGAAAACAUUUUGAGAAGGAUCAACAAAAGGAUUAAACAGAAAAAUGUUACGUUAGUUAGCUAAAGGUAUUUACAUACUAGCCCUAACCCUCUGGCCCUACACCGUUGGGAGCAGAAAGGCGGCAGGGCGAGGGGGGUAUUUGGACUGGGCCUUAAUGUGCUGACACCUUCUCUGAUAACAUGCUCCUAUCGGUUCCAGUCACGGGGAACCACUUACCAUGAAGACUCUUCCUGUGUGUGUUUUACUGAACUUGCAUGGCUCAGCACUGGUUCAGGAGUACAGAACUGUAGAUACAUAGCUCACUGAACUGGAAAUGUCCCAGGACUCCAGUUUGAGGUACAGAAUUGUGGUUCUUUGUUUACCUUAAUGACUGAUCCAUGGAGACCUUCCACACUAAUUCCAUUUGCUCUUAGUUGCAGAACAGUGUGACGGUUUCUCAAUGUGAUGCCGUCAGAUGUUUUGUUUUGGUUUAUUUAUGCUUUGUGUAAUGGCCCACCUGGGAUUUCUAAUGAUUGACACGGAGUUUGGGUUAGGGCUCUCCUACCAGUGAGCGCUCUACUGACCUUCACAACAUGUGUGUACUUUGCAGGAUCGUUGUCCCCACUGUUAGAUUUUGUCUGUUGGCAUGAACCAGGUAAAGUAAAAGCCUCCCAUGCUUUUAUGGUGGCGGUGCCCAUAUCCAUACCCCGGUACAUGAAUGACUGGGAAGGGAGGCGGAGAACUCUUAUUUUGGUGCAACGUAACGUUUGCAAGUUGUUCUUUGAUUCCCACCACAUGGGAUGCAACAGGCCCAGUUGGUAAUAACCUGUUUCCAUGCACACACGCAUAUUAGUGCUGAACAACAAUUACAAUUUUCAGUGGCAACUAAUAGCAUCAAUCUCUGAUUGAAAUAUAAUCUGAUUUGUAAUAUAAUAACACACAAAAUUCAAUAAUUGCUUUAAAAAAAAACACUUAACAAAUGAGGUGUGUUUUACCUGCAGUAUUCCCACACAGCAGCAGUUAAAAUACCUCUUGUAAAUCUCAACUUGAACAUAAGUCAUUUAAUAGUAGUAAAUCAAAUCAAAUAUAAAACCAAAGCCGCAACUGCCAGGGCACCAAAGCCUCGUUUGCGCUACUGCGUUUUCAGAGAGACGCAAGGACGCGCAGACGCAAGAGAUCCUUGUGUGUCUUUUCACACCUCCUUGCGUGCGUCGACCCAUUUUUCUUUCUUUGUCUCCAGCAGCCCGCAAGGCUGCGAUUGGUCUGCUAACUACAUCCUUACGGAGUCUCAGAUUUCUGUUUUCAUAGCACAAUACCGCCAUUAUUAAAAGGAAGAAUGUUUACGAGAGAACGGAUCAGAUUGAAGAGCUUUUGUGGGAAGAAAUGCGUGAAUAUGAGGACUUCUACAAGCCGUCAUUGGCGGACGGCCUCUGGUUGACGGAGGGAGAUCUCCACCAACGCCGGUUCGCCAGUCGAGGGGUGCACAAAGUUGUGGAGGAAAAUGUGGGACAAAUGUGUCCUUGAUGAAAAGCAGCAGUGUGGAUGCACGGGGCAAUAAAGUCUGUGAUAAAUAAAUAAACCAACCAAUGACUUCCACACACAAAGACGUAACUCUCUAGGUGAAUGCAACACACGCAAGACUUUUAGAACCAUCAAUUGAAACGAGUGCGUCGACGCAAAGACGCAGACGCGUGCACCAGCCUUUACGUUUUAUCUAGAUUUUUAUGGAAAAACAAGUUACCCUCCACAAUCAUAACAUUACAACAGGCAAGUUAACAUUUAUUAAGUCAAGCAUGUUUAUUUUAUCAGGGAGCAUCAUAAACCGUCCAUCUAUUGAUCAAUAAUCUAUCUUCAGUAACAGGUGUCCCAGUGAGAGUGGAGUGCUCCAUCAGUACACAGCUGGGAUUUACUGCAGGGACCGUUCAGUCUGUGAUGUUCUUGUUUGAACUGGAUGUCCAUUGGACUCAGUGAGGCAAGUUACUAAUAACUUUGGUUUUAUCCUUAUAUAUUGCUCCCUUUCUCUAAUUCUCUGCAUCCUGUUGCAGCAGUCUUAGUCCCGCCCCCCAAUGCGCUCGUUGGUUGAGACGGGUGAUCACGCCCCUCCCCCAAGCCAAUACUGAUCAACACCUCCUGUGACCAGGUUUGUCCGUUUGUCUACUCAGAUGAAGAGAGCCACAGAUUUUCAAACAAAUAAUCUUUUUUUUUUAACUGAUUACGCAAAUUUUAAGGCAUUAACUUGCUCAGCAAUAUACAGUAUAUCAAAUAUUAAUAUUCAAUACGUUUUACGGAACCAUAGAAUAGAUACAUGACAGCCUGUUGCUGUGGUAUUGUAUCCCAUUAAAUGUGAAAUGCACGAGUAUGACAGGAACGUGGCCCUCAGCAUGUGAAAAGACAUGGAGACACAUCCAACAUGUUCCUCAAGGACACGUGAGAUCACGUCUAUCCGGAGACGCUGCACCAGCUCUGUUGACAUUACCUGGAUAACCAGUGGCACAUGUUCAUUGACAGUGUUUGCUGCCAGCUUGUCGCCUUGUGGAGCGAGUGUUGGUUCAUUAUGUUUAUUGAGAAGACCUGUGGCCGAUGUGAUAUUGGUCUGGGUUGGCGUCAGGUGGGAGCUGGAAAGCCUGUCUGAGAUGGUGGGGGGGUUGAGCAGACAGGGGGAGUCAGGCUGUAAGCAGGUUUCCUCGUUAAGGCAGAUUACAAGGAGAAAGACAGUGGACCAGAGGCUGAGGCAAACCACAUUAAACUUAGUUACUAUUCUGGCUGUAGCAUUAGUACAUGUGAGGACUGACUAUCUCGACCAGACUGGAGUGAAGAGCUGGAAAAUACCAACUGUGGUCGCUAGAUGGGUAGAUGAAUAGAAGGUGUGGAGGUUAAUUGGCAGUAGGAGGGGAUGAGGAUCCACACACACACACACAGGAAUUAGCAUAUUGGGGGGCGCUACAGCUGGAGCAUGUUCGGUUACAGCGUCUCCCUGUCUUUGGCGCUGUGGCUGAGUGGCAGAUCUGGCAUCAUCCAACAACUCCUGUCUGAUCUGAGGGAGACGUUGCAGAACAUGUGGAGCCAUAUGUUACGCUGCAUCAUCGGUUGCUAUGCAAAGAUUCCGGAUGCUGCCAAAAUUAAAGAUAAACCCUCGGUUUUCACCAGCAUGCAGCCAUUUUGCAUCAAUUGUUUAAUUUGGUACACUUCAGUGUGCAUUCUGAACUCAUGAUCACAUAGGGUUGUCAUCAGUAGCAGCUGGCCCAUAGAGGGGCAUCUUGAGCCACAAAAUAUAUAUAUAUAUAUAUAUAUAUAUAUAUAUAUAGUUUUAUUAUAUUAAAAAUACAUUUUAGUAAUCGUAAAUAUUUGUGUUUUUGAAACAUUGAAUAUAUACAGUAAUAUUUCUAAAUUAAGAUAUGUGCGCAAAAUAGGAAGGUGAAGCUGGAACGUACGAAGCUUCUGUAGAGAUGCUACACGCGGAACGUUAAGCUAGCUGGAUGAAGUCGCGCUGACGCCGUGUUUAUCUUCCCAUCAUCGCUUUUUAAAUAAACGGGGAUGGAUGAAUAAUGGACAGAUACGGGAGAGAGGGACACAAAGCACAUUCGAAAGAAAACAAUACAAGAGGACACACGGAUAGGUGGAAUUCCACCAGCUGCCACUGGUUGUCAUCAAACUAAGCUAAGGCUACGUGUGUUAGGCUGUGUAUGGGUGAGUUUAGGGGUGUUCAUGUUUAUUACCACAUGUCCUGUCUUUUAUUUGUCUAAAAGGUGCUUUGUCAUGUUUGACGUUUGCCCCCUCUGGUUACCGAGACACGUCUGCAAUGGAGCCAAAGUACUUCAGAUUUCACUUCUGGCAUCUUUUUCCAAUUAACCGGCGACGGUCGCCAAGGGCUCAUACAUGUGACGCCAUGCGUCCCCUGUGCUCAGGCGCUGUUGGCAGCGCCGCCUCGUUGCAGGUCAAUGUGUGCAGGCAGCAUGACGGAGCAGUGAGUGCGCUCUGAUUGCGCAUAAUUUAAAUUAAGUGUCAUUGCAAAAAAUAUGCAAAAUGGUAGUAUUGAUACACUCUUAGUGGAGAGAGGUCGUCUGCUCUUUGCCUUAGGCUGUUUGUUACUACUAGAGAAUUUGAUAGUUCUGUAGCCAGUAGCUUUUGCAGUAUCUUCUGGGACGUUUAGUGUCAGCCGUGUGCGUCCUAUUGACCCGGGAGACAGUUAUGAUAGACAUAGGAUAUUUUCUCGCUGGUGACGGGAGAUGUCCAGGCCUUUGUGGCCAUGAAAGAAUCAGCAGCAUUAUGCUGUUUUGUGCUGUUAAGAGCUCCAGUAAGGCAAACAUAUACAUGGUGCAGAGAAGUAAGCUGUGGGGGCCUACGUCUACAACAAGAUAGAUACCUGUGCAGCACAGGACUGUGGGAAAUUCGGUGUGCUCAUGACGAGAAACAACCACUAGCACUCCCGGGUUGGAAAAGCCAGUCCAAUCACUGCUCACUCACUUCUAUCCAAUAAGCAGAAUGCCAAAUGGUACAUGCUAUGGAGGGAGCAGAGCAUGAAGCCCAGGACAAAGAUCUUUAUCCAGGAUGUCCUGACAGGUCUUCGGUCCGUUUUGCAGCUCCUCUGAAGACUUGUGAGCACAGAAGUGGGACAGAACAGGUAAGCGGCAUGAGGAGUGUUUCUUCUUUUUUAAAUAAUCAUAGCUUAUUGCAUUUAUUUACUUAUUUUGAACAUACUAAUGCUCAUCUAUGAUCAGUUCCAGUGCACAGAUGAAACUAAAAUUUACUUCCUAAAAAAACACAGUUGUUAAGUGUGACAAAGUGGGUAACAACUCACCUUUGUCCCCAUGUUGGUAUGUGUGUUGGAUGCUCUGCAGGUGGAGGCUAGAGGGGAGACCUAGUGUUUGUGUGCAGGGGAUGAUUGGACCAGGUAUACGGGGGGGGGUCAUAAUGGGUGUCACCUCUGCACAUGGUGCAACCUGGGGCGGGGUUGAUUGACGGUGCUAUAAAGGUGGAGGACAUUGACUGUUGGGGGGAAAAUGGUGGAACGUCCGUGUAGCUGAGGGCACGUGUUAGAUGAGGUUAUGUGGUGUUGAUU